UUGCUUUGGCAGCACAUAUACUAAAAUUGGAAUGAUACAGAGAAGAUUAGCGUGGCCCCUGCGCAAGGAUGACACGCAAAUUCGUGAAGCGUUCCACAAGGGG
Small nuclear RNA from Gopherus agassizii (Agassiz's desert tortoise), 103 nucleotides. The record is from Ensembl. NCBI's taxonomy places the organism in Eukaryota, Metazoa, Chordata, Testudines, Testudinidae.